Molecule: ribosomal RNA, 253 nt
Filed under: uncultured prokaryote
Description: partial 16S ribosomal RNA
Rfam family: Bacterial small subunit ribosomal RNA
Source: RNAcentral
GACGAGGGAUCCUAGCGUUGUUCGGAAUCAUUGGGCGUAAAGCGGGUGUAGGUGGGCUUCUAAGUCAGGUGUGAAAUCCCAGGGCUCAACCCUGGAAGUGCACUUGAUACUGGAAGUCUUGAGUGUGGUAGAGGCUAUUAGAAUUCUUGGUGUAGUGGUGAAAUACGUAGAUAUCAAGAGGAAUACCGGAGGCGAAGGCGGAUAGCUGGGCCAACACUGACACUGAGACCCGAAAGCGUGGGGAUCAAACAGG